UCGUUGAAAACUACUCUCAGGAGAGUAGAACUUUACUCACUUUUAGAUUUCAUGGAAAAUAGAAAAAAGAGAGUGACAGCAUUCUUCUAAACUGAGUGAUUUUUCACUCACACGUUUGAAUUUUGGACAAUACUCAUUUUUGAGUAACUUGGCAUUUUUUCCAAAGUGAGCUGUUUUUCACUCACCCGCUCAAAUUUUACUGCAGAAUUCUGUUUUUGAGUAACAUCAUUCAAAUUUCAUGCCGGUAACCGCCAUUUGUACAAAGUUCUGACUUCUUGCCAAUAAAAUUAUAUUAUACAUAACAAUUUCUGUGAAAUGUUUUUAAAUUAUGGAAAACCUAGGGGAAAACCCCAUCUGUUGUUCAGCAGGUAAGUUUGCUCUUAUUAUCCAACUAGACUGUGGAAAUAACUUUAAAACAAAUUCUUACAGAUAUUCAUCAAGACGGAUGGUAAGGCAGGCAGCCUUCUCUGAUCCCAAACAUGUAGAAAUAUACGCUAUUCUUCUAAAUGCAACCAAUCAUUUAAAAAAGAGGACAAGACUAUGCAUGCGUCGGAGAUUCCGGUGGACCGCGGUUACAGCGUAAGACCACCUGAGGGAUCACCGCAGCCACCGGGAGCCACGAAGGAUAGUUUUUAAUACAUAAUUUACAUCCAACUUUGUAUACAUAGACAUAAAUAAUUGAAUAAAUGUUCAUUUUCGUUGCUUUCUGGAA
This is a long non-coding RNA of Aedes albopictus (Asian tiger mosquito), 712 nucleotides long. RefSeq lists it as uncharacterized. The transcript is spliced from 2 exons. The record is from RefSeq and is a predicted model, not a curated record. NCBI's taxonomy places the organism in Eukaryota, Metazoa, Arthropoda, Insecta, Diptera, Culicidae.